This is a long non-coding RNA of Esox lucius (northern pike), 2784 nucleotides long. RefSeq lists it as uncharacterized. The transcript has 5 exons. Lineage: Eukaryota; Metazoa; Chordata; Actinopteri; Esociformes; Esocidae. The record is from RefSeq and is a predicted model, not a curated record.
GAUUAACAACAGGGGGACCCGGCCGCGAAAAGCUGAAUGGAUAGGGCCAGUGCGACGUCACGGCAAGCUGCAGCCAUGAAGCUCAAGAUCAGGCGCGAGCCAACCUACAAGCGCUCAGUUGUUCUACAUCUCUUGACUCGCUCGGUUGAUUGUUUUGGAGAGCGUUUGUAACGGUGGCUGGCAGACAACGGAUUCUAAUGGAGACACACACAGGAGCAACAGAACACGUGGCAUAGGUGUAAAUCUGGCUUGUGUUAAUCCACUGUGGCACAAGAGGAUGGGUCGCCUUAGGGGUUGGUUGUUAUCUUUGGUUAUCUAGCUGUAUGAGUGGUGUACAUUCUUCAUAAAGCUAGAUAACCGAAAGUAACAAGAAUCCCAUUACACUCCUGAAAGGCACCAAGACCACCAACACAGCACCCCCACCUCCCCCCACGCCGUCACUCCAUUCCACAACUUAAAGCAGAACCAGUAAAGAACACAACCCAUUUCAUAGGACACCGGAGGAGAAUAUCAAGUCAGCCUUGAUUCUCAGAUGGUUGGAUCUGAUUUGCAUGCAUUUGCAUAAUGAAAGUCAUUUGCAUGCUCGGGGGCAGACUCUAGCAUGAGAAAAGACACAAAAAGGUGUGUGCGCGUGCGCAUGUACCUAUGUAUGAAUGUAUGUAUGUACGUGUGUAUGAAUUCAUGUGUCCAUAUCUCGGCUGGUUAAACUGCAUACUCAGAUUUCCCCCUUUUGUUCUCUCUUUUUCCCUAUUGCUGUUUUUUGUCCAGGCUACCAACACCACCCCUAGCAGAAAGCUGGCAAAAUGAGCCAGAAAAAGAGGGAGGGGGGGGGUCGUUGUUGACUCUGCCUUCCCUCUUCUCGCCCUCCUCCUCUGCAUCACCUCUCCCCACCCUCGCUUCAUCCUCAGCUGCCUGCCCCCUCUUCUGUAGCGCCACGCUCAGCCAGCGCCACCAUCUUAGGACCACGCGGGCUGGCAUAAAAUGGAAGUGAGGGACCAGCGAGAGCAGGUAAAGAAUGUCCCAAAACAUUGAAAGCGGGCAGAAACAGCGUACACCAAUCCACUGGGGGAAGACACGUUGUCCCCAAAGACCUCCCCAGUGUUGGUCGUGCUACAGGCCCACUGCAGCAACAUCCAAUACGCUCCAGCUUGUGUCACAACAUUCAAGCAUCGGAGCGUUUGAGCUGCCAUUAUGGACCUCUGACUUGGGGUUGGAAUUCUGGCCUUGGUUUUGUCAUCAAACAACAGCCCAUCAGGACUGGUUUGUUUUCUCUCUUAAGCCAAAACAUCUGUUUGGUAGGUGGUCUGUCAUUGGCAUGGAAGAUCUCAGGGUGAAGAUCUCAGGAUCCAAGAUUAAUAGAGAAGCCUAGGUUCUUGGUUCCACUGUGGUUCCACUGAGCAAUGUAUUAGGAUACAUUUCUGGAGCGUGUGCUCUGUAUCUGUUUUCUUGCAACUUUUACAACAUGUAUGUUACAUAUGAGGAAAUAUUCCUAGAAAUACCUGUUCUUGUUUGCAAACAUUAGUUUAAUAGCACAGAACACUUCACUAAUGAGAAGACAAAUACUACUAUGAUAAUACUUCUGUUAAGAGUCCAUGGUUUUCCAUGGGAAAUGUGUAGAAAAAUUUGAAGUAACAUAGAUCAUUAUGUGAUAAUGGUUUGAAUGUUAGCUCUUUUUGUGUGGAUAUGUUACUGUUUGUAGUGGCUAUGACUGAAGGACAUGUGAAUGUGAGACCCACGGCAGCGGUGAAGAAUACUGCACUGCGAUUGGAUGGCUCCGUGUGUCAUGUGACACAUAGGCAAACGGGAGAGCUGUCGCCUUUAAACUCUAUGCAACUGUUUUUGGCUUGCAACCAGUUAUGUUGGGCAAGCCAUCAACUGGAUUAUUUUUGGGUUAACACUCAUGUUAGAUGAUUUUUUCUCUAUGCAGGUGUGUGUGUGUGUGUGUGUGUACGUGUGUGUGAAAGGAAAGUGUCAUCAUACUACAGAAGAGAGAGACAGACAAAUAGAUGGAAAUUGUAAUUGUACACAGCACAAUGUUAGCUGUACAUAGUACAAUGAUUAGUUUAGUUUUCAUGAACAGAAUUGUAUAGUUGUCUCUGUCAAUGCAAAUCAGAGCAGGAAAUACGUAAUAUUGUUGGUGAGAGAACUCUGUUUGAUCAACAAUGCUGUGAAGCUAGUAAGGUUCUGGAUUGCAUGGAACAUUCUAAACCAAUACAACUUUCCAAGGAGGCCUUGAAUGCAGUAGCUUGACAUUAACUAGCAAACUGCACACACACACAUAUACACACACACACACACAAUAGUAAGCAAAUGCAAUCAGUAUAUACUAAUUUGUUUUAUAUGAUAUUUCGGGAAGAGGCAAUUUUUACAAUGUAUUGGUAAUCUAUGCAAAUCUGACUUAACAAUAUAUUUAGUGCUUGUGUAAUUUAUUUCAAGUACAAGCCUUAUUUUAUUUUUAUUUUUUUAACAUCCUAAUGCUAUAGACAAUUAUUUAUCUGCCUGGAUAAACAUACUCAUUAUUUCUUCCCUAAAAUACACUUUUGGUGGAUGGCUAAAACCAGUCUAGGGGCCACAGAAAUUAUUAAAUAGUUUUAUGUUUUCUUUUUCACUGAGAUUAUAUGACUAAGCAGUUCUUUGAGCAACUGAUGUUGUUUGUGUUAUGUAAUCAAAUGUGCAUUAUAUAAUGUUAGUUUGCACUGAAUCCACCACAUGUGCCUUUGUAAAAGAAUAUUGUGUCCUGUCAUGGAUUAGUAAUAAAAGUUUACAUGGAAAACAAACUGAAAA